UUCCGUAGGUGAACCUGCGGAAGGAUCAUUAAAAAAUUGGACUCCAUUGGUGAGUUCAUUAAUAAUCCUACCCUUUGUGAAUUUGUUUGUUUGAAUAAUUUUUUCCAAAAAAAAUUAUUGAAUGUCUUUCCUGUUUUGGUGGAGCUUGUAAAGUGAAACCAGGCAGGGGAAUGGCAAACAAUAAUUAUUUUUGAAAAAGACCUUUUUUAAAAUUAAACUUUUUGUAUUCAUUUGUCUAAAAUUAUUUUUAUAAUAUAAAAACAACUUUGACAAUGGAUCUCUUGGUUCUCGCAACGAUGAAGAACGCAGCAAAAUGCGAUAAGUAGUGUGAAUUGCAGAAUACGUGAAUCAUCGAAUCUUCGAACGCAUAUUGCACUUUUUUAGUUUACUAAAAAAGUAUGUCUGUUUGAGUAUCAGUAAAAUAUUCUCAUAAAAACUUUUUUGUUUUUAUGGUUAUGAGUGUUUUUACAACGAUACAAGUUGUUUCACUUUAAAUUUUUUUAAAUUUGAAUUUUUCUAAUUUUAAAAUAAAAUUGGAUAAAAUUUUCCCGUAAAAAGGAAUAACCUAAAACAAUUUUAAUUUUUGAUUAGAAAAUCCAAACUAAAGGAAAAUUUAACUAAAUAACUUGAUCUCAAAUCAGAUAAGAGUACCCGCUGAACUUAAGCAUAUCAAUAAGCGGAGGAAAGAAACUAACAAGGAUUCCUUAGUAACGGCGAGUGAAGCGGGAAGAGCUCAAAUUUGAAAUCUUCAAGGUUUACCUUGACGAAUUGUAGUUUAAAGAAGUGUUUUCUGUUGAAGUUUUGGUAAAAGUUCUUGGAAUAGACAUCAUAGAGGGUGAGAAUCCCGUAUUGACCAUUAUUUUCAGCUGUGUGAUACACUUUCAAAGAGUCGGAUUGUUUGGGAAUGCAGUCCAAAAUGGGUGGUAAAUUUCAUCUAAAGUAAAUAUUGGCGAGAGACCGAUAGCGAACAAGUACCGUGAGGGAAAGAUGAAAAGAACUUUGAAAGGAGAGUUAAACAGUACGUGAAAUUGUCAAAAGGGAAGCGUUUGACACCAGUGUUGUUUUCUCGAAAAUCAAUUAAAAAAAGUUGGAUUUUGUGUUGUAUUGACCUUAACAGCUUGCUUCACUCUUUUCUUGCUUUUUUUAAUGCACUUUUCGUUUAACAAGUCAACAUCAGUUUCUUUUGUUGUAAAAGGGUCAUUGGAAGGUGGCUUUCUCUUCGGAGAAAGUGUUUAUAGCCUUUGAUCUCUGCAAUCGGAGAGACUGAGUCUGCAGCGUAGAUCCUUCGGGUUAGAUACAUUUGUGCUAAGCUACAGCUUUCAUAGACAACUUGUUGACUAUGUUAGUCUUGUAACUUACCCGCUUAUGCUAUUUACCUACGCUUAGGAUGUUG
This 1393-nucleotide unclassified non-coding RNA is filed under the name uncultured Neocallimastigales. RNAcentral describes it as "partial contains small subunit ribosomal RNA, internal transcribed spacer 1, 5.8S ribosomal RNA, internal transcribed spacer 2, and large subunit ribosomal RNA". The stretch from base 628 to 1393 matches the Rfam family "Eukaryotic large subunit ribosomal RNA", at positions 1 to 628 of the family's 3401-position model. Lineage: Eukaryota; Fungi; Neocallimastigomycota; Neocallimastigomycetes; Neocallimastigales. The record is from RNAcentral.